UACGUAGGGUGCGAGCGUUGUCCGGAAUUAUUGGGCGUAAAGAGCUCGUAGGCGGUCCGUCGCGUCGAAUGUGAAAACCCGGGGCUCAACCCCGGGCUUGCAUUCGAUACGGGCGGACUAGAGUUCGGUAGGGGAGACUGGAAUUCCUGGUGUAGCGGUGAAAUGCGCAGAUAUCAGGAGGAACACCGGUGGCGAAGGCGGUUCUCUGGGCCGAUACUGACGCUGAGGAGCGAAAGCGUGGGGAGCAAACAGG
RNAcentral lists this ribosomal RNA (253 nucleotides) under uncultured bacterium. Its description in RNAcentral is "partial 16S ribosomal RNA". It matches the Rfam family "Bacterial small subunit ribosomal RNA", at positions 524 to 776 of the family's 1533-position model. The record is from RNAcentral.